CUGUUUCUGGAGGAGAUAGACUACUCCAUUCUAAAAUGAUGUGACUAAUACUGUCAUUUUAUUUCUUGAGAAGAUUUUUAUGUACAUUUGUAUAAUAUGUAAAAAUACAAUAUAAUAAACACAAACAUAAUGUAUAAAUGUAACAUGCAUGAAUGCAGACAUGAAUGCAAGUUUAGUAACUCACACUUUAAUAGGUAGACCUAGGACCCUUAAGGAAUGAUAGCUUUUGUCAACAUCAUUGUUCCCCCAGCUGCUUCGGGGCUUUGUCAUAUUUUUAUACAAAAGCCCUAUUGUGCCUACUGCCCUUCUGACCGUUCAAGAUUCAUUGUUACUCUGACAGGCGCUGUGGAGGGGACAGGCGCAUUCACUCCUUUCUUUGUUCGGACCAGACCCAGUCCAAUUGGGCAGUGGCAUCCUCAUGCAAGCUGGUCUACUGGUGGCUGCCCCACUGACCUGCUUCUGAAUGGACAGGCAGGAAAGGUCUCCCACUGUGUUGCAUUUAAAGAAAAGAAAAAGAUGAAUGAAGUAAAAAACUCUGCAAACAACUGAGUGUAAUUAUUGG
This 562-nucleotide long non-coding RNA is filed under the name Macaca mulatta (Rhesus monkey). RNAcentral describes it as "lncRNA (ENSMMUG00000062740.1)". Lineage: Eukaryota; Metazoa; Chordata; Mammalia; Primates; Cercopithecidae. The record is from RNAcentral.